Molecule: ribosomal RNA, 443 nt
Filed under: uncultured bacterium
Lineage: Bacteria
Description: partial 16S ribosomal RNA
Rfam family: Bacterial small subunit ribosomal RNA
Source: RNAcentral
CCUACGGGUGGCUGCAGUGGGGAAUAUUGGGCAAUGGGCGCAAGCCUGACCCAGCAACGCCGCGUGAAGGAAGAAGGCUCUCGGGUUGUAAACUUCUUUUUUCAGGGACGAAGCAAGUGACGGUACCUGACGAAUAAGCCACGGCUAACUACGUGCCUGCAGCCGCUGUGAUCCGGAGGUGGCAAGCGUUCUCCGGAUUUAGUGGGUGUAAAGGGCGUGUAGGCGGGAAUGCAAGUCAGAUGUGAAAACUAUGGGCUCAACCCAUAGCCUGCAUUUGAAACUGUAUGUCUUGAGUGCUGGAGAGGCAAGCGGAAUUCCGGGUGUAGCGGUGAAAUGCGUAGAUAUACGGAGGAACACCAGUGGCGAAGGCGGAUUGCUGGACAGCAACUGACGCUGAGGCGCGAAAGCGUGGGGAGCAAACAGGAUUAGAUACCCCGGUAGUC